GGGUUAGUAGGUUGGUCAUGCCUCUGGUAUGUACUGGUCUCACUGAUUCCUACCUUCUGACGAACCACGAUGUCAUUAAUUUGGUGUCGCGGGAAAUCAGGACUGUUACUUUGAAAAAAUUAGAGUGUUUAAAGCAGGCUCGCGCUUGAAUACAUUAGCAUGGAAUAAUGAAAUAGGACGUUUGAUUCUAUUUUGUUGGUUUCUAGAGUCGCCGUA
Molecule: ribosomal RNA, 216 nt
Filed under: Campeiostachys nutans
Lineage: Eukaryota; Viridiplantae; Streptophyta; Magnoliopsida; Poales; Poaceae
Description: Elymus nutans partial small subunit ribosomal RNA
Rfam family: Eukaryotic small subunit ribosomal RNA (bases 44-216)
Source: RNAcentral